ACACUGUGGUAGUGGCGGGAACAGGAAGUUUCGGCAGGCGCACACCAUUCUUUACAAUAAAGAAAACGCCUGAACUGUGCUGUCCUUUUCUCUUUAUUACUACAGAUUAAGUCUGAGGCCGGUAACAUCAACAGUGAGGCCAAACCCAGCCUGCCUCUCUCCUUCCACACUGAGUCCAAACCUACAGUCACUGGGUCCUGAUUGUGACAGUGGAGCCCAGUUUGCACUGCAGGAUCCAGAGAUGGCAUCAGUGAAGCUGGAAGACUGCAGUCAAACACUGGAGCUGAAUGUCAACAUUAAAGAUGAAGAAGAGGAGGAGAAGAUUGGGAAAUCUGUUUCUCAUGGGUCUCCAACAUUUACGCAGCUGCUCAGAGGGAUAAAUGAUCUGGAACAGACAGCGUUAGACGGCGAUUCUCAGGAGCAAAUCGCAUGCAGCCAAACCCCGUCACAUUAUUGUAGACCUGACAUACAGCCAAGAAGAAUAACGGGGUCCAUAUGGACCCUGAACGGCUUCGGAAGAGCAGAUGACACAUCCGAUGACACAGAUUCAAUUCUCCCGUACUGUACGAACGUUUUUUCGAACACACCGAGAACAGAGGUUUUAAACGUCCGGUCAACUCCCCUGGGAAUCUCCACCAGCUCGCUCCAUAUUCCUAACCCAAGCAAACAACGCACAACUCGGGCGCAAAUACAUUGCUCAGAAUCAACCCCUCCGGAAAAGUACGACAGGGCUCCAACGAGACAGGCCUGGCAGAAUCGGGAAUUCUUGGUGACAAAAGUCAAGCCCCCCGGUUUACGCGAUUUGUCAGAACAGCCCUCGUCAAAAAAGCUGAGACUCCUCCCCGGCGUAUAACGGCACCAAAGACCUCACACAUCUAGAGCACGAGGAGGAUUCCAGCUCACCGAACAUUCCCAAUGAACAACCAAACCGGAGGAUUUCAACGUUAUAAAUGACAUUUCCGAGGCAGACGACCGGUUAUUAUGGGAUGCGGCCAACCUUCUUGAUUCUGCCAAUUCUGUGGUGACAACAGAUGGAUCUGAAAUAGAACAAGCUAGGUUUUUCACAGCCUUUUCCAGGGCUCUAAAAUCCCGAAAGGUUUUGCUACACAGACGUGUGCGUGUUUUACUAGAGCGCCAAUACCGUCAGGAUAUAUCCUUCUGGCAUAGAGCAAUUCCGCGUAUGUUAAAUAGCAAUCCGAUUAAAAAAACGCAAAUACAGGCGUUAAAAGCAUAUAUGUAACACGGAUCCUUCCAGAAUAACCCAAGAACACACAUCAUUAAUUAUCCAAAUGGCUGACCCAACAGACCUAGGCGAGACAGUUGAAAACCUCUUAUCCCAGAUACCGCCAGAAUUCCAAGCUAUAAUUAACCAUUUGAAUGAGGCGGGGGUAACAGACAUAAUACCGAUAGAUGAAAGCAUAUUAUCACAGAUUCCAGCCGAACUCAUAGAAAUUAUUAAUCGUAUGAAUGAGUCAGGGCCGUCCGAUGAAAACCUGUUAUCACAGAUUCCCGAAGCCCUCAUAUCGCUAAUUACCCAGAUGAACGAGAGCCUGAGAUCUAAUUCUGCAACACACACCCCUCAAAACCAGACAUUAACACCCAUGUCCGAAGAGUCUGAAACGCAAUAUGAUGUUUUUGAGGAAUUGGAAAAUUGUCUAAUAAAUCAGGAUGGAAACGGUAUGGAUAGAAGUGUUCGUGUUGUGUGCCGAAAUCAAUUCAACAAUACAGAGAUUCGACAGUUUUUCAAUUUCGCAUGGGUGAAUCAAAAUCUUGACUAUGCUGUGUUUUACGUAAUGAUAUUGGACACUCUGAACAAACUGUUAGACAGGGCUAGAGAUUAUGGCGAACCACGUGAUGUCUUACAGUUGGAAAUUUGUGGAGAUUGCCUGCAUAACACGGUAUCUCUUAUUUUGACCAAUGGCGAAGCAGAUCUGGAACAAUUUAUCGCCCUGCUAGAACGACUUGUUCAGUCAAAUGUAUCCGUCAUAGCCGAUAGGACCCUCGAGCUUGUAGUGCAAAUAAUACGUCAACCCCUGGGUGGUGGUGGGCAGAGUAGGAAGCUAGAUUGCAUUAUGCUAUCAGAAAUCAUAAGCAAUAAAAGGGCCUACCUCAUAAACGUUCACAAUCCCGGUAAUAAGCUAUGCUUUGCAAUAGGUCUGUCCCAUUUACUCAACCCGGGAUGUACUGAUCUAGCGGCGUUACAACGGUAUACAGGAUGCUGUGGCUUUCUCUGACAUACUCAAAUUUGAAAACUUUCUGAAUAUCCAGAUUGUGGUUUUGUACCACAGUAGAGCUAAUGCAGCUCUCUUGAAAUUCCAAAACAACCCCCAACCUCAUCCUCAGACUCUGUACUUUUAUGUGCAAAACGAACAUUACUAUGCCGUUACUAACAUCACAGCGUUUUUAGGCGCACCAUAUGUGUGUCCAUCCUGCCAUACCGGCUACACCCGAAUGGGGGGGCACUCGUGCCGUUAUAACUGUUCAGUAUGUCUGGAUAAAAAUUGUCCUAUGCAACCCUUACACUUGACACCCUGUGAGGAUUGCCACCGCACAUGUCGUUCGGCCUACUGUUACGAAAAACACAAAAUUGAAACAUGGCACCCCAAGGCCUGUAAAUCUGUAAGCAGCUGUGACAUUAACAAGAAAUGCCCAAAAUGCCAUUGUAAUUACAACCUUAAAAUAGAUAGCCCUAAACCGCAUGUGUGUGGAAUCAUACAUUGCUCAAUCUGUAAAGGGCCUUUGAAAAGCAGACACUGAAGUGGUUCAAGAAGUGCAACACAAGUGUUAUAUUCAGCCCGUGGCUGAAGUUGAACAUUCAGAGAAAUAAAGUGUUAUAUGAUUUUGAGACAAAUCAGCAAUCAGGGGUUCAUUUGCCUAUUUUUGUAUCUACCAUGACUUUCAAGGGUGAAAAGUGGUCGGCCGAGGGACCCAAUUGUGCACUGUUCUUUCUAAAACACUUUAGAAAACCCCAAUACAGAAACUUCACGUUUAUAGCACACAAUGCUCGAGCCUAUGACCUUCUUCUGAACCCCUUGAUACAGCAAGGCGUUGCACCCAGUGUCAUAGCUCAAGGUAGUAAAAUCUUGUGUUUUGUAGACCCCGCCUUCAACCAGAGAUAGAUUGACAGUUUAAGCUUCUUACCCAUGAGAUUGGCUCAAAUGCCAGAGGCCUUGGGUUUUGAAAACUCUGUGAAAGGCUGGUUCCCCGCACUUCUUCACAUCUGAGGAGAAUCUACAUUAUAUUGGAUCGUAUCCCUGCCCCGAAAUGUACAGGUGUGAUCAAAUGUCUCCCAAAGAGCGUGAGAGAUUCAUGACAUGGUACGAGACAGUAAGACAUGGCCCCUUUGAUUUCCAUAAAGAGAUGGAAUCAUACUGUGACAAUGAUGUGGUUAUACUUGGUGAAGGAUGCCUCAGAUUCAGAGAAGUAAUCAAAGAUGCAGGCAUUGACCCCUGGAGUUGUAUAACUAUUGCAUCGGCGUGCAUGAAAACCUAUCGUAUGAGUACAACGGUUGUUUCUUCCACGGUUGUAAAUCUUGCUUUGUGCCCCAGGCCAUGUGUGUCCUAACCCAAAAGACUUGUGGAAAUGUAUCAACGGUUUCAAGACAAAUUGGAUUCUUUCCAGGCUACUUACAGGUUAAAAGUUGUGGUUUUGUGGGAGCACGAAUGGACAGCCCUCAAAAAGUCUGAUCCUCAUGUUCAAGCCUUCCUUUCCAGCUAUGACACACUAGAACCCCUGGGACCACGACAGGCCUUGUAUGGAGGCCGUACCAAUGUUUUGACCUUGCGGUAUGUAGCGCAACCCGACGAGACAAUAGGAUAUGUAGAUUUUACAUCCCUUUAUCCUCAUGUAAUGUAUGGGGCAUCCGGAAAUUAUUCACCGCGACUUUGACUUACCCCAAAACUAUUUUGGUCUGAUCAAAGCAACUGUCUACCCUCCUAGGGGUUUGUUUAUACCAGUGUUUACUUACAGGGGCCCUCAAGGAAAACUUUUCUUUCCCCUUUGUCGCACCUGCAGUGAAAACAACAACCAGCAAAACCCUUGUGAUCACUCAGAUCAAGAAAGAGCCCUGACAGGUGUAUGGGUCACAGUUGAAUUCUCUAAGGCUCUAGAGAUGGGCAACUCACUUUGGGGCAAAUUAUCGCAGAGAUGCAAUAUGUUAACAACGUCGAUCAUUAAAGACCCCAAAGAAUUUUUGGAAUUUGUUUUUUCGGACGAAUACGAAAUUUCACAUUUUUCAUUCUUGAGUCAAGACAUUGCCCUGGUGCAAUUGAGGUGCAACCAGAAGUGGGUUCUACCCCCGGGUAAUGUAAGUGUGUUUAUUGCAGCAUUUACCACGGCCUAUUGCCGACUUGAACUGUACACCCUCAUGGAACAGCUUCAGAGGCGGGUUCUUUACCACGACACAGACUCUGUGGUCUAUGUAAGCAAACAGGGUGAUUGGAACCCCCCACUUGGCGACUAUCUGGGUGGUUUAACGAGUGAACUUGAAGAGGGUGACCAUAUCACAGAAUGGUCCUCAUGUGGACCCGAAAGCUAUGCUUUUAGGACUAAAGACAAUCACGUGGUGUUGAAAGCCAAAGGCGUGACUCAAAACUAUGAAAAUGCCCCGCGUGUAAACUUGGAAUCAAUCACACGCUUGGUCGAGGGUUUCAUAAACAACAGGAAUAGUGACUUGGAGAUUUCGAGCUCCUACAAAAAAAUUGUUAGGGAUAAAAAGGGCUUCCAUCUAAGGAACACCCCACUUACUAAAAGAUUCAGGGUAGUCUAUGACAAGAGACUGCUAUUGCCUGACGGGACCACAUUGCCCUUUGGCUACUGACUUAUGCUACAAGCCCCCCCAGUGUGUCUUAAAGCUUAAGAUAUAAUGACUGCUGUAGCUGAUUUUGACCCCCGUUUGCAACUGCCAUUUUCAGCCUAAAUCGCAGGCCCAUCAAAUAGUGGUAAAACUUGCUUUGUAAAAAGUAUUUUAGAGAAUUCUGAACAUGUUAUCUCAAAAGCCUGAUAAUGUUGUGUGGUGUUAUUCUUGUUAUCAACCUCUGUAUGAUGAAUUAUUGAAGACAAUAAAACUCAAGUUUGUUGAAGGAAAACCUGAA
Molecule: long non-coding RNA, 5093 nt
Organism: Oncorhynchus nerka (sockeye salmon)
Lineage: Eukaryota; Metazoa; Chordata; Actinopteri; Salmoniformes; Salmonidae
Exons: 6
Source: RefSeq, a predicted model, not a curated record